GGAUGAACGCUGGCGGCGUGCUUAACACAUGCAAGUCGAACGAUGAUCCUCGCUUGCGGGGGGAUUAGUGGCGAACGGGUGAGUAACACGUGAGUAACCUGCCCUUGACUCUGGGAUAAGCCUGGGAAACUGGGUCUAAUACUGGAUACGACCGCUCCACGCAUGUGGUGGUGGUGGAAAGCUUUUUUGUGGUUUUGGAUGGACUCGCGGCCUAUCAGCUUGUUGGUGAGGUAAUGGCUCACCAAGGCGACGACGGGUAGCCGGCCUGAGAGGGUGACCGGCCACACUGGGACUGAGACACGGCCCAGACUCCUACGGGAGGCAGCAGUGGGGAAUAUUGCACAAUGGGCGAAAGCCUGAUGCAGCGACGCCGCGUGAGGGAUGACGGCCUUCGGGUUGUAAACCUCUUUCAGUAGGGAAGAAGCGUAAGUGACGGUACCUGCAGAAGAAGCGCCGGCUAACUACGUGCCAGCAGCCGCGGUAAUACGUAGGGCGCAAGCGUUAUCCGGAAUUAUUGGGCGUAAAGAGCUCGUAGGCGGUUUGUCGCGUCUGCUGUGAAAGGCCCAGGGCUCAACCCUGGUUCUGCAGUGGGUACGGGCAGACUUGAGUGGUGUAGGGGAGACUGGAAUUCCUGGUGUAGCGGUGAAAUGCGCAGAUAUCAGGAGGAACACCGAUGGCGAAGGCAGGUCUCUGGGCAUUAACUGACGCUGAGGAGCGAAAGCAUGGGGAGCGAACAGGAUUAGAUACCCUGGUAGUCCAUGCCGUAAACGUUGGGCACUAGGUGUGGGGGACAUUCCACGUUUUCCGCGCCGUAGCUAACGCAUUAAGUGCCCCGCCUGGGGAGUACGGCCGCAAGGCUAAAACUCAAAGGAAUUGACGGGGGCCCGCACAAGCGGCGGAGCAUGCGGAUUAAUUCGAUGCAACGCGAAGAACCUUACCAAGGCUUGACAUGGACUAGUAAAGCGCAGAGAUGCGCUCCCCUCUUGAGGCUGGUUCACAGGUGGUGCAUGGUUGUCGUCAGCUCGUGUCGUGAGAUGUUGGGUUAAGUCCCGCAACGAGCGCAACCCUCGUUCCAUGUUGCCAGCGCGUAAUGGCGGGGACUCAUGGGAGACUGCCGGGGUCAACUCGGAGGAAGGUGGGGACGACGUCAAAUCAUCAUGCCCCUUAUGUCUUGGGCUUCACGCAUGCUACAAUGGCCGGUACAAAGGGUUGCGAUACUGUGAGGUGGAGCUAAUCCCAAAAAGCCGGUCUCAGUUCGGAUUGGGGUCUGCAACUCGACCCCAUGAAGUUGGAGUCGCUAGUAAUCGCAGAUCAGCAACGCUGCGGUGAAUACGUUCCCGGGCCUUGUACACACCGCC
RNAcentral lists this ribosomal RNA (1358 nucleotides) under uncultured Actinomycetes bacterium. RNAcentral describes it as "bacterial SSU rRNA". It matches the Rfam family "Bacterial small subunit ribosomal RNA", at positions 27 to 1394 of the family's 1533-position model. Lineage: Bacteria; Bacillati; Actinomycetota; Actinomycetes. The record is from RNAcentral.